GGUGCUGUGGCGAAGCAGGUUAACGCCCUGGCCUGAAGCGCCAGCAUCCCAUAUGGGCACUAGUUCUAGUCCUGGCUGCUCCU
Non-coding RNA from Oryctolagus cuniculus (rabbit), 83 nucleotides. NCBI's taxonomy places the organism in Eukaryota, Metazoa, Chordata, Mammalia, Lagomorpha, Leporidae. The record is from Rfam.